Molecule: ribosomal RNA, 465 nt
Filed under: uncultured bacterium
Lineage: Bacteria
Description: partial 16S ribosomal RNA
Rfam family: Bacterial small subunit ribosomal RNA
Source: RNAcentral
GACGAACGCUGGCGGCGUGCUUAACACAUGCAAGUCGUACGGUAAGGCCCUUUCGGGGGUACACGAGUGGCGGACGGGUGAGUAACACGUGAGUAACCUGCCCACAACUUUGGGAUAACGCUAGGAAACUGGUGCUAAUACUGGAUAUGUGCUCCUGCUGCAUGGUGGGGGUUGGAAAGCUCCGGCGGUUGUGGAUGGACUCGCGGCCUAUCAGCUUGUUGGUGGGGUAGUGGCCUACCAAGGCGGCGACGGGUAGCCGGCCUGAGAGGGUGACCGGCCACAGUGGGACUGAGAUACGGCCCAGACUCCUACGGGAGGCAGCAGUGGGGAAUAUUGCACAAUGGGCGCAAGCCUGAUGCAGCAACGCCGCGUGCGGGAUGACGGCCUUCGGGUUGUAAACCGCUUUCAGCAGGGACGAAGCUUUUUGUGACGGUACCUGCAGAAGAAGCACCGGCUAACUACGUG